CGUUCAGUAAUGUUAAAAUGUGUAUUGCGAAUAGUUUUUUGAUAGUUUGGCAUUUAAAGUUUUACAUUUAUUAAUUUGUCAAAUUUAACUUCUCUUUUCAUAUCAUAUUAAAAAUGAUUCAGUGAUGUUUUGAAUCAUUAGACAGCUUUGUGAUAUUUAUCAACAGAUAAUUAUGCUGUGAUGAUAUUUAUUCAAGAGUAAUCAAAGCAGAGGACAUUGGAGUUGGAGAUAUCCUUUUUCUGAUGGAGAAAUGAUCACAUUUAUAUAACAUUUACUGGAGUGAUACAAAUAUUGGAUUAUCAUUUAGAUUAAGUUGAAUGGAGAAACAAAAUUUCAUUUAUUACCCAAUAGUCAAGGAGUUGAUGAAGAUGUUGGACUUUAUUUAAAUAUCAAGCAAAAUAAAUGGUGAAAAAAAUUUAUCUCAAAUCCUGUGAGCAAUGGAGUUAUUUUAGCGAAAAUAAAAAGUGAACAAUUAUUAAAUGAAAAUGUGAAGUUGUUGUAAGCGAUGGUCGUCAUGUCUUUCAAAAAUACAUUACUUGUUUCACUCAUAUCCUCUAUCUUCCUGGACAAUUUGCCGAGCACAAAAGAAUCCUUGCUCGAGAGAGAGCAAAAUGGAACAUACACAAGUAUAACAAUUGAGAGAACUAUGGAAGUAAUGGACCGAAUACACAUGGGUAUGUACAACCAUACUGCACGAAAAGAAUGAGAAAAUAAUCGCUAGAGGUAAAGAUGAGUCAGCAGAGUUACUUUUUAAACAAAAAAAAAAAAAUUUUCAUUUAUUCCGAAAAUAAAGAUGUAGAGUAAGCUGUCAUAAAUGGCAAUUGAUCCAUAUACGCUUAACGUAUAAUAAGUAAUAAGUCAGACUUAUUUAAACUCAUAUACAGUACAUGUGCAUAUAUGAUAUGUGAAAAGUGGAAUUUGUUUUCAUGGAAGAGAGAAAUGAACGUUAAUCGCCUGCCACUGGCAGAAUAGGUAGCGUGAACAUAUAAACACACGCACAUCCCUUGGGUGUUGUAAUAUCAUUUUCAUCAAGUUCACUAGCAAAUGAGAAAAUCGUCGGGGUUGUUAAACUGUAGGGAAAGAUUUUGUAUAUUAUGAUAUCUAAUUUGUCAUGAUCUUUUGUGAAAAAGCAUAUCAAUUUGCCCUACUCUAGUAAAUUUCAUAAAUAUUCACAUCAAUAUAUAUAUGUAUAUUUAAUAUUCCCAUUUGUUGGGAAACUACAUUCGAUUAUAUUUUAUGAUUAUGUGAUAUCAUAAUUUAUUUAAAAGACAUCCAAAAGAUCACUCCCUUUUGGCCUACACCUAGCACAAUAGCUGGGAUAGAGUAAGAGGUUGUUGCACUAUUAUUUAGAAUGAUUAUAAAUUAUCCUUCAAUUUGAAAAAAAUUUAUAAUGGGAUAAUAUCAAUAGGACUAUCUAUAAAUUAACAGCAGAAUUGAAAAGCUCAUUAGAAUUUUUAUUAAUUAAAUAAUCAAAUUAAAAUUUUGAAGUGAUACAAAAAUUUAUUAAUAACAUGAGAUUGCACUUCUCUUCAA
Chelonus insularis is the source of this 1533-nucleotide long non-coding RNA. RefSeq lists it as uncharacterized. The record is from RefSeq and is a predicted model, not a curated record. NCBI's taxonomy places the organism in Eukaryota, Metazoa, Arthropoda, Insecta, Hymenoptera, Braconidae. The transcript is spliced from 4 exons.